CUGUCUCAGACUAAGCCAUGCACGUCUAAGUACAAACUAAAUGAUGGUGAAACUGCAAAUGGCUCAUUACAACGGUUAUGAUGUACCCGGGAGUUCCGAUGGAUAUUUCCAGUAACACUAGAACUAAUACAUGUCCCUGCGUUUAUUAGUUUCGCACAGUCCGUCGCUGAGUCAUGGUAAACAGUUGAUCGACUCGACGUCCCGGAACAGUUUCCGCCCCAUCAGCUUCGAUGGUUGGGUAUUGGCCUACCAUUGCAACAACGGGUAACGAGGAAUUAGGGUUUGAUUUCGGAGAGGGAGCCUGAGAAACGGCUACCACAUCUACGGAUGGCAGCAGGCGCGCAAAUUACCCAAUGCAGACACUGUGAGGUAGUGACGAGAAAUAAUAAAGCGGGACUUCUGUUUCGCUAUUAUAAUGAGGAAUAACCAAAGGUCAUUCCGAUUAGCAACUGAUGGGAAAGUCUGGUGCCAGCAGCCGCGGUAAUACCAGCGUCAGUAGC
This 500-nucleotide ribosomal RNA is filed under the name uncultured Myrionecta. RNAcentral describes it as "SSU rRNA". It matches the Rfam family "Eukaryotic small subunit ribosomal RNA", at positions 34 to 598 of the family's 1831-position model. Lineage: Eukaryota; Ciliophora; Litostomatea; Cyclotrichida; Mesodiniidae. The record is from RNAcentral.